CAUUUUGAUGUUUCAUUUAUUGCUAUUUAUUGCAUUCAGCAUGUCUCAAUCAACCAGAGAUUUUCCAGGAAAAAGCCAACAACAAUAGGAGAAUGGUAUGUCUUGACAGUUGGGCUGUUCAGUUUUGCUGCUUGUUACCUGCAUGGACGUCUGCCCAGUGAGCAAAGCGUGAACCUUCUGAUGUGGCUUUUGCAGCUUCUAGGCUUGGUCUUUGGUAUUUAUUUUGGCGUUGCUAUCCCCCAGGAGGCCUAUGUGAGAAACAUCUGAGAACGAGGAAGGCUCAGGAGCAGCUGAGAUGCUCCACAGACCUGGUGAGAUAAAAAUCUGUUAGAAGUUUCACAUGAAAUCAUAUUUGAACCUCAGCUUAGAUUUAUAAAAUACAACCCACAUUGCAAAGUUUUAAGUGGCAAGCCUG
RNAcentral lists this long non-coding RNA (415 nucleotides) under Pogona vitticeps (central bearded dragon). Its description in RNAcentral is "lncRNA (ENSPVIG00000010714.1)". The record is from RNAcentral. Lineage: Eukaryota; Metazoa; Chordata; Lepidosauria; Squamata; Agamidae.